GAACGGAGAGGCGGGUGGCUGGGAUGAAAAGACGAGCAGGGGUGCAAGGCAGGGGGCGGUGUGGAGGAGAACUGGGGGUCGGAGCACCGAGGUACUCCAGGUCUGGCUGAACCUGCAAAAGAGAAAUGCUGGAGCUGAUGGCGCCCUGAGGGCUCCCUAUCGCAAACACUAGAGGGCAGCGCUGUCCGCGUUAUAACCGGGGCCGACCGGGCUGGAGGUGUGGGUGAGGGACCCAGCUCCUGAGCCCGUUGCAGGCCGCGGCCCAGGCGGAGAAGGGGACAGCUGAUUCAGAGGCAGACCCUAGUCCCCUGCUCUGUGGCGAGCCUGCGCCGGGGAGGGAGAGGAAGAGAGGGGUAGCUGACGGGUUCGGACGGUUUCUCUCAGAGGCUCCUCCAGGCAAACCCUCUGGAGUUUGGCAACUCUAAACCAAAUGAAAUUCUCUUCAAUUCAAAAAGCAAGCCUGUGUGCCCUUCUUGCCUUCUGGAGUGCCCCUUAAGACCAGCAGGGCUGAGUGAGGGGUGUGAGGGGAAGUUCACUGAAGAAGAGAAAGGAAGAUGGAGAAACUGAGGCUCUGUGAUGGGAAGUGAGUUUUCCAGGAUCCUGUGGCUGGUAAGUGGCAAUAAUAUUCUGUUUUGGGGUU
This is a non-coding RNA of Microcebus murinus (gray mouse lemur), 640 nucleotides long. The record is from RefSeq and is a predicted model, not a curated record. Lineage: Eukaryota; Metazoa; Chordata; Mammalia; Primates; Cheirogaleidae.